GCAAACCUACAAAGGGUCAAAUUGCAGUCGUCAGCCGACGCUCACAGGGAGUACGCCGGUGACAAGCUAAUCGCCAGUGGAUGGGGCAGGACCUGGACUAAUGGUUUAACAACAGACGUGCUGCAGUGGGUGUACUUGGUGGGUGUGGAGCAGUUCACUUGCAGCAGAACCUUUGGCAGCGUGGUGAACGCUAACUCCAUAUGCGCUCGCCACUACAACGUCACCUCGCAAUCCAUCUGCCAGGGAGACAGCGGUGGUCCUCUGGUGUACACGGACUCAGAUGGAGUGCGCGUGCUCGUGGGCAUCAGCAGCUUCGUGGCCGGCGCUCAAAGCGGAGGCUGCCACUCGGGACACCCUGCUGGUUUCAUCCGCCCGGGACCGUUCCAUUCCUGGUACCAAGAAGUCACUGGCAUCGACUUCGAGAAUUUAGACGAUGAACCACCAACAACAGCUGCGCCAACAACAACAACAGCUGCGCCAACAACAACCACAACAGAAGCACCACCUGCAACAACGCUGCCACCAACAGUGCCUACAACAUCCGCACCAGAUGUGACUCCAGAACCAGAAGAGGAGGAUGAAGAUGA
Long non-coding RNA from Zerene cesonia (dogface butterfly), 587 nucleotides. RefSeq lists it as uncharacterized. The transcript has 4 exons. NCBI's taxonomy places the organism in Eukaryota, Metazoa, Arthropoda, Insecta, Lepidoptera, Pieridae. The record is from RefSeq and is a predicted model, not a curated record.